AUGGGAGCCGAGCAGCAGCACCAGGCCGCCGGGGGCAGCAGGUUCGCCGUGGCGUUCGGCCUGCUGCGCCAGUACAUGAGGGAGCAGCCUGGCGUGGUCACCGUGGGCCUCUCGCCGGGCGGCGGCGACGGCGUCGAGGCGGUGGCGCCCGAGCAGCGGAUCCGGACCAUGGAGCUCUUCCCCCAGCAGGCCGGCACGGUCAGGGGCUCGCACGAGAGGACGGGGCCUGAGAGAGCGCCGCUCACCAUCUUCUACGGCGGGAGGACGUUCGUGUUCGACGACUUCCCCGCCGAGAAGGCCAGGGAGCUCAUGCAGCUCGCCGGCUCCUUCUGCGCGCCGCCGCCCGCCCCCGACGCCGAGCCCGCCUGCCAGAACGCGCCGGGGCAGCCUUGCUUGUCAGACCUGCCGAUCGCGAGGAAGGCGUCGCUCCACAGGUUCCUGGCGAAGAGGAAGAGCAGGCUCACCGCGGCAGAUCCGUACCCGGCGCCGUUAGCGGCGCCGGGGGCCGGGGCGGCCAAGGAGACGGCCGGCAAGGCUGCGCCGGAGGACGGCGGCGCGCCGUGGCUCGGCGUCAACCCCGCGCUCCAGCUCAACUGA
This 597-nucleotide ribosomal RNA is filed under the name Triticum aestivum (bread wheat). RNAcentral describes it as "partial small subunit ribosomal RNA". Lineage: Eukaryota; Viridiplantae; Streptophyta; Magnoliopsida; Poales; Poaceae. The record is from RNAcentral.